UACGUAGGGGGCUAGCGUUGUCCGGAUUUAUUGGGCGUAAAGAGCGUGUAGGCGGCCAGGUAGGUCUGCUGUGAAAACUCGAGGCUUAACCUCGAGAUGUCGGCGGAAACCAUCUGGCUAGAGUCCGGAAGAGGAGAGUGGAAUUCCUGGUGUAGCGGUGAAAUGCGCAGAUAUCAGGAAGAACACCCGUGGCGAAGGCGGCUCUCUGGGACGGUACGUGACGCUGAGACGCGAAAGCGUGGGGAGCGAACAGG
RNAcentral lists this ribosomal RNA (254 nucleotides) under uncultured bacterium. RNAcentral describes it as "partial 16S ribosomal RNA". It matches the Rfam family "Bacterial small subunit ribosomal RNA", at positions 524 to 776 of the family's 1533-position model. The record is from RNAcentral.